RNAcentral lists this long non-coding RNA (391 nucleotides) under Bos taurus (domestic cattle). Its description in RNAcentral is "long non-coding RNA NONBTAT022074". Lineage: Eukaryota; Metazoa; Chordata; Mammalia; Artiodactyla; Bovidae. The record is from RNAcentral.
UCCCCUAGACUAGGAAGACAUCAAAAAGAAUCAAGCAAGGGACAGUCAGAGAUCAAAGACAGCUACAAGCUAGACACAUAGUACUGAGGUUCAGGCCAAGAUUAAAUAGGACUUUUUAAUCUACCCAGUUGCCAGCAUUCUGUGACUUUCUUUUGCAAUGUUUAGCAGCCUGGCAGUAGGUCACCCAGCUGGCAGGAUGUAUACAGGGUGAAGAAGCAGAGGAUGCUAGUGAACCUGUUUUGGAAAAACUGAAUGCUAAGGACAGCCAGCAACACAUCUUUUUUUAAAGCUGUGUGCUCGUCGGUUUGGGUGCAGGUUGUCCUCCGCAGACGUGGACAAACAGGUGGAGCUGAAGAGAGAGCUCAGGAGGAGGAGGGGGAGUGGGGGAGGC